CAGCAGCCGCGGGAAAACGUAGGGUGCAAGCGUUAAUCGGAAUUACUGGGCGUAAAGCGUGCGCAGGCGGUUUGUUAAGACAGAUGUGAAAUCCCCGGGCUCAACCCAGAGGCUGCAUCGGAGACUGCGAGGCUGGAGAGUGGGAGAGGUGAGUGGAAUUUCCGGUGUAGCGGUGAAAUGCGUAGAUAUCGGGAGGAACAUCAGUGGCGAAGGCGGCCAUCUGGGACAACACGGGCGCUGAGGCACGAAAGCGUGGGGAGCAAACAGGAUUAGAUACCCCGGUAGUCCCUGUCUCUUAUAC
RNAcentral lists this ribosomal RNA (301 nucleotides) under uncultured bacterium. RNAcentral's name for it is "partial 16S ribosomal RNA". It matches the Rfam family "Bacterial small subunit ribosomal RNA", at positions 509 to 807 of the family's 1533-position model. The record is from RNAcentral.